This 100-nucleotide transfer RNA is filed under the name Corynespora cassiicola Philippines. It matches the Rfam family "tRNA". Rfam says of the family: Transfer RNA (tRNA) molecules are approximately 80 nucleotides in length. Their secondary structure includes four short double-helical elements and three loops (D, anti-codon, and T loops). The record is from Rfam by way of RNAcentral. Lineage: Eukaryota; Fungi; Ascomycota; Dothideomycetes; Pleosporales; Corynesporascaceae.
GCAUUAAUGGUUUAGUGGUAAAAUUAGCCGUUGCCAGUUCCAUUCCUUCAGGAUGGUAUUGAAUAUCGGCUAGCCCCCGGUUCGAUUCCGGGUUAAUGCA